Molecule: long non-coding RNA, 150 nt
Filed under: Chinchilla lanigera (long-tailed chinchilla)
Lineage: Eukaryota; Metazoa; Chordata; Mammalia; Rodentia; Chinchillidae
Description: lncRNA (ENSCLAG00000023237.1)
Source: RNAcentral
CUUUCAUGGAUAUGAGCACAGACAAGACGACGAAACUGCAUCACAAAGGCCAGCUCACAUUACCCCAUGGUAUGACUGCUGAGACAUUGCCUUCGGUAGGAUCUGUGAGCCUCGUGGUGGACUCUGCUGUGUGGAUGAGCAGCCUGCAGA